AUUGAACGCUGGCGGCAUGCCUUACACAUGCAAGUCGAACGGCAGCACGGUUACUUGUUGCUCUUACCGAGUGCCGAACGCGUGCGUAUUACAUCUGCAUCUGUCCCUACUUUUUGGUUAGCGCGGAGAAAGCGGGACUAAUACUGCUACCGCAUUCCGCCUGAAAGUGAGGGACCGUCGUCUUCCGCGCUUGCGCGUUGGCCUGUGCCGAUGUCGGAUUAGCUAGUUGGCGGGGUAAAGGCCGACCAAGGCGACGAUCCGUAGCUGGUCUGAGAGGAUGACCAGCCACACUGGAACUGAGACACGGCCCAGACUCCUACGGGAGGCAGCAGUGGGGAAUAUUGGACAAUGGGCGAAAGCCUGAUCCAGCAAUACCGCGUGGGUGAAGAAGGCCUUCGGGUUGUAAAGCACUUUUGUCGGGAAAGAAAAGCAGGAGGUUAAUACGGUGCGGGGAUGACGGUACCGGAAGAAUAAGCACCGGCUAACUUCGUG
RNAcentral lists this ribosomal RNA (492 nucleotides) under uncultured bacterium. Its description in RNAcentral is "partial 16S ribosomal RNA". It matches the Rfam family "Bacterial small subunit ribosomal RNA", at positions 30 to 507 of the family's 1533-position model. The record is from RNAcentral.